CUGGUCUGAUGACAGUGGGUUGUCAGAACUUAUCAGCAUUAGUUUAGUGUCACUAUAGUUGACAUACAACCCCCCCACUGCUAAAUUUGGCUGAAGAAAA
RNAcentral lists this non-coding RNA (100 nucleotides) under Carlito syrichta (Philippine tarsier). The record is from RNAcentral. Lineage: Eukaryota; Metazoa; Chordata; Mammalia; Primates; Tarsiidae.